CCAAUCGCGUAUAUUAAAGUUGUUGCAGUUAAAAAGCUCGUAGUUGAAUUUCGGGAUCAAGGGAUCGGUCAUGCCUUGGUAUGUACUGGUUUCAUUGGUUCUCACCUUCUAAAGAACCAUGAUGUCAUUCAUUUGAUGUUAUGGGGAAUUAGGACUGUUACCUUGAAAAAAUUAGAGUGUUUAAAGCAAGCUUACGCUUGAAUACAUUAGCAUGGAAUAAUGAAAUAGGACAUCAGAUUCUAUUUUGUUGGUUUCUAGGAUCGAUGUAAUGAUUAAUAGGGAUAGUUGGGGGCAUUAGUAUUCAAUUGUCAGAGGUGAAAUUCUUGGAUUUAUUGAAGACUAACUACUGCGAAAGCAUUUGCCAAGGAUGUUUUCAUUAAUCAAGAACGAAAGUUAGGGGAUCGAAGACGAUCAGAUACCGUCGUAGUCUUAACCAUAAACUAUGCCGACUAGGGAUCGGAUGAUGUUAAUUUUUUAAUGACUCAUUCGGCACCUUACG
Molecule: ribosomal RNA, 499 nt
Filed under: uncultured Glomeromycotina
Lineage: Eukaryota; Fungi; Glomeromycota
Description: partial small subunit ribosomal RNA
Rfam family: Eukaryotic small subunit ribosomal RNA
Source: RNAcentral